Molecule: ribosomal RNA, 478 nt
Filed under: uncultured bacterium
Lineage: Bacteria
Description: bacterial SSU rRNA
Rfam family: Bacterial small subunit ribosomal RNA
Source: RNAcentral
ACUCCUACGGGAGGCAGCAGUGGGGAAUAUUGCACAAUGGGCGCAAGCCUGAUGCAGCCAUGCCGCGUGUAUGAAGAAGGCCUCGGUUGUAAAGUACUUCUAGCAGUGAGGAAGGCGGGUACGGUUAAUAAGCGUGCUCGUUUGUACGUUAGCUGCAGAAGAAAGCACCGGCUAACUCCGUGCCAGCAGCCGCGGUAAUACGGAGGGUGCGAGCGUUAAUCGGAAUUACUGGGCGUAAAGCGCAUGCAGGUGGUUUGUUAAGUUCAGAUGUGAAAGCCCGGGGGCUCAACCUCGGAAUUGCAUUUGAAACUGGCAGACUAGAGUACUGUAGAGGGGGUAGGAAUUUCAGGUGUAGCGGUGAAAUGCGUAGAGAUCUGAAGGAAUACCGGUGGCGAAGGCGGCCCCCUGGACCAGAUACUGACACUCAGAUGCGAAAGCGUGGGGAGCAAACAGGAUUAGAUACCCUGGUAGCACAGAG